This is a non-coding RNA of Schistosoma rodhaini, 46 nucleotides long. NCBI's taxonomy places the organism in Eukaryota, Metazoa, Platyhelminthes, Trematoda, Strigeidida, Schistosomatidae. The record is from Rfam.
GCAUUGCUGAAGAGUCCCACAAUAGGACUAAACUGACGUCCAGUGC